Molecule: ribosomal RNA, 254 nt
Filed under: uncultured bacterium
Lineage: Bacteria
Description: partial 16S ribosomal RNA
Rfam family: Bacterial small subunit ribosomal RNA
Source: RNAcentral
UACAGAGGUGCCGAGCGUUAGGCGGAAUCACUGGGCUUAAAGCGCGUGUAGGCGGGUCGUUAAGUGUCCGCGUGAAAUCCCACGGCUCAACCGUGGAACUGCCGGGCAUACUGGCGACCUUGAGGCACUUAGGGGCGAGCGGAACAAAUGGUGGAGCGGUGAGAUGCGUAGAUAUCAUUUGGAACGCCGACGGUGAAAACAGCUCGCUGGGAGUGUCCUGACGCUGAGACGCGAAAGCCAGGGGAGCGAACGGG